GAAGUCGUUACUCCAACCCUUGUGGAGGAGGACGCCGAAGGUGGGGCUAAUGACUGGGGUGAAGUCGUAACAAGGUAGCCGUACCGGAAGGUGCGGCUGGAUCACCUCCUAACAGGGAGACAACAAAAUGUAAAUAUUAAUUUUGUCACCUUAGGUCGAUCGGUAUCUCAGAUUCUUAUUAUUUAAGAAUUUCAGUUUCUAAGUUUUUUCUAGGUCACUCCCAUCACUUUUUCCUGGGCCAUUAGCUCAGGUGGUUAGAGCGCACCCCUGAUAAGGGUGAGGUCCCUGGUUCAAGUCCAGGAUGGCCCAUAUCUCUAUGUUGGGGGCAUAGCUCAGUUGGUAGAGCGCCUGCUUUGCAAGCAGGAUGUCAGCGGUUCGAGUCCGCUUACCUCCACUGAAUACCACCUCUUACAUAUAGUUGAAGUGGGAAAUUGUUUUGAGUCGUGUCCUAAUUUGCUCUGAGCGAAUCUAGCUUCCUAUUUUAUCCAUGAAAUAAGAUGCUGGACUCAUUGAAUUUUUUUUCAUUGUUUUCAGAGAACCUUGACAACUGCAUAGAUUAUUUUUAAAGACAAUAAGCAUCUUUAAUGAUGCAGAUUUAUUAUUUGUGCGAAUGCAUUAAAUAACAAUUCUAUUAAGCUGAUGCUUCAAUUAUUGAAGUUAUUGGCCAAGCUACAAAGGGCUCACGGAGGAUACCUAGGCACACAGAGGCGAUGAA
This 715-nucleotide unclassified non-coding RNA is filed under the name uncultured cyanobacterium. Its description in RNAcentral is "partial contains 16S ribosomal RNA, 16S-23S ribosomal RNA intergenic spacer, and 23S ribosomal RNA". The stretch from base 1 to 112 matches the Rfam family "Bacterial small subunit ribosomal RNA", at positions 1423 to 1533 of the family's 1533-position model. Lineage: Bacteria; Bacillati; Cyanobacteriota. The record is from RNAcentral.